GGAAAGGUUAGCAAAAGAAAAUAAUAGCAUCAGGCUAGUCAGUGAUCAUUGGCUUGCCAAGUGUAAUCUUUCUUUGGCAAUCUACUUCAGAAGAAGAGGUUAUUAACGUAUUUGCUUAUUUUGUAGCAGUUGGGAGAUCUUAAGGUGGAAGUAUGGUGCUAUUUAAUUCAUUCAAACAGAUUGGAAGAUGCUGAAGCUCCUAAAUUCUGGAGUGGCCAAGUAAAGACUCUCAAACCCGUAUAUCUUGGUCUGGAUUCAUUCUUAUUUUCUGUCCUGAAUGUCUGACUCAGAGGACCUCUCACUGUGUUAUCCUCCUGACAUCCCAUACUCUGAAAACCCAACUGGACACACUGUCCACACUUCAAGGCAGUGCUUGUCACUGUCACACUAUUAUUGUGAGUAGUCCUCACCUUUCAAACCUUGGACUUAUCAUUGGCCCUUUAUAGGAUGACAGUUGGUAUUGUGUACCACUUAUAUCCUGAAACUUUGUCCAAUUUACUUAUUACUUUCUGUAGUUUUUUAAUGAAUCAUUGUUUGUUCUAUAGAUUAAAUUAUUGAAUUAACGAAUUCUUUUCCUUCUGGCUUUGAACUCUGGAAUCUUUUCUUUUUCUUAGCUUAUCAAUCUUGAAAGAACUUAUAGUACAAUAUUUGGCAGGUGUGAUGAACACAGAUGUCUCUGUCUUGUCCCUACUCUUUGUUUUAGACUUUUAUCAGUAUAUGAUAUUACUUCUGGGAGUUUCUUUACUUUGUAAUCUCUGUUGAGUGUUUUUUCUCUCUCUCUUUUAUUCUUCCUUCACAUUUUACAUCCUAACUGCAGUUCCCCCUCCUUCCACUUUUCCCAGUCCUCUCUCCAGCUCCCCUCUGCCCCAGAUCCACUCCUCCCUUUUCCCUUCAAAUAACAGCAAGCUUCCCAGGUAUAUCAACCAAACACAGCAUACAAGUUACAAUAAGACCAGACACAUACCAUCAUAUCAAACCUGGAUGAGGCAACCCAGAAGGAAAAAAAGGGUCCCAAAGACAGGCAAAAGAGUUAGAGACAGCCUCACAACCCAAGGGAGGAGUCACACCCAGCUACAAAACACCCAGCUACAGAACCAUAACAUAUAUGCAGAAGACAUAGGUCAGACCCAUACAUUGUCCAUGACUGUCACCUCGGUCUCUGUGAUCCCAAUGAGACUGCUUAGUUUAUUCCAAGGGUCAUGUCCCUGUGGUAUCCUCAUGUGUUUUCUUAUUGUUAAUCAGUGUUUGAUUUCCUUAUCAUUUUAACAUCAGUAAAGAUGUGCAUAUAGUUUUCCAGCUGCUUCUGUUAAUGGUCGGGUUUGUUAUUCUUGAACCACCUUUGUGAUAAUCAUUUUCCAGCCUUAGUUUAUUAGUAGCCUAGGCUAUUAAUAAUUUCAUCAUGUUUGUUAUAAUGGUGGCCAGUUGCUUUCCUUUCCCGUGGUGGCCUUAUCUAGAUUUAGCCUCACACAAUGCUGCCUCAUAGCAUGAGCUAGAAAGUUUUCCCUGUUUUUUUUUUUACAAAAAGUUUGAAGAGUAUAUUACUCUUUAAUAUUUAGUAAAACUCACCAGUGAAAUAACUGAUCCUGGGAUUUUCAUUGUUGUUGGUUUUUGAACAUUCCUUCAAUCUCUCAUUUUAAGUCUGUUCGGAUUUUCUAUUUCUUCUUAAACAAUUGUAGGAGCUUCCAUGUUUCUAUGAUUUCUCACCUUUCUAAUCAGAUCUUAUCUUCCCUUCCAUCAUCCAGGUUUAAAUAAAUUUGGAGGUCAGAAUAAAGAUGCUGGCCUGUUAAAAGUAAGUCUGAAUGGAACUAUGUUUUUAAAAUGCUAAGCCAACUGACUCACCAAAAGAAAUAAAAAGAAACAAGACAGUCUCUUUAUCUUUUGUAUAAUAAAUGCCUCCUAAUUAUAUAUCCUCUGUACCUUAGAACAAAAUAUAUAAGAAAAUUAAAUAAUAUAUUUAACUUUCUGAGGACUUUUCUAGACUUACUUUUAUCUCACUAAAGGGUAAUAGUUCUGAGCCUCCAGAUAGAAAGAGCACACAGUAUUUAUAAAAAUAUAUUUUGCUGUGGAAGUUAUAAUAUAAUUCACUUGUCAUUUUCUUAUCAUGCUCCCAUACCUGAACAUUGUUUAGCAGAUUUGUAUGCGUGGACAAAUCUGGGAGAGCAGAAGAGGCAUAGGGGACACAGGCUAGAUACAUUGUAACUACUAAUCUCUGCAAAAAAGAAUUUAAUCAGGAAAUAUUACUCACCCCUCCAAAAUAUCUCUGACCUUUCCUGUAUCUUCAAUAUUUUGUCUAAACAUCCACUACUUUUUAAAUUCAGACUCAACUAAAAUGUCUUCUACCUUGUACAUUACAGCAAAGAGCAUUAAGCUGCCUCUAUCAGAGGGGGAAAUAGAUUAUACCUCUCCAUCUGCCCCUUCUUCCUUCCUUCCCACUACACACACACACACACACACACACACACACACACACACACACACCAGAGCCUAGUUGAUCACAAGUCUAUUCACUCCCUCUACUAUGAGGGAACACUCACUCUAUGCUGUGCAGGCACUGUGUUAAGUUUUGAACACACAAUACUGACUGUCGCAGACACAGCUCAUGAUUCCUUUAAUCAAAGACUUGGUUCAUGUGACUCUACUGUUAAUCCUUUCCAGAGUUCAGCAAUACAGUUUGAUAGAGAGGAAGUUAAAAGGUAAUGUAGCCAUGACCCUGCAUAUCUUCUGCCCAGGAAACAGUUAAUGGUGUUAUCCAGGAAGUAUCAUGAACUGCACAGAAGUGCAUGUGUUUGCAACUUGAACACUGACAAAGAAGCAAUUCUUUCUGCUAAAGAGGGUAGAAUAAAUCUUCCCUUUGCCCUUGCACACCCUGAGCUGCUGAUCCAGCAGAGAAUGCUGAAUGCUCAUAUCUACAGAAGGCUGCAGGGUCAACCAAAGCAACAAGAGCCACACCAGGAGGUAACCAGAACAGCACAAAACCAAACUUUUGCUGACCAUACUGGGGAAAGAAAAGCAGUGAAGCCAUUGACAAAACUGCGUCCAGAAGAAUCACAACAGCCAAGAACUAAGGAGUCGAGUCCGGCAGUAACUAAGAGAGAGUAGGGGUUGCCAAUCUCAGAAAGGACAGUUUGGACCAAGAGUGGCUACAGAGAAUCCAGUGCCAAUGCCCUUGUCCCUGUCACACAGAACUGUGGAUAGCCUGAAACCGAAUGCCAGCUCUGCCAUUAUACCACUGUGACAUUGUGUGGCUCACUGAACCUCUCGGGAAGUUUAGACAUCUUGUCUGUAAAACAAGCUUACAAGAUGGUGAGAAUAAGAGAGAGUGGAUGCCAAGUAGGUGUUGGUUAAAGAGCGUAUGCUUUCUAUUCUGAGGGGCUGCUCAUCACCAUAAAGCAAUUCUGCAGUACUUUUCAUACAGUUGCAGGCUGUCGUCAUCUGCUGCUCCACAUCAGGGCUGAUGACUGCCUUGCAGGGAGAUCUUUAACUGGGUUUAUUCUGUUCCAGUGACGGGCAGCUUUCGAUGAGUUUCUUACAUGUUUCUCAUAUGUCUACCUGCUUCCUUCCUAUUCCUCAAUGUUUAGUGCAGUUUAUGGGCAGACAUACUCAUUUAUUUUUGUUCUCACUGAUGGUCAGACUUUUAAACAUGGUGAGCACUUAAUAAAUAUUUAAUAUUUUGUACACCUCUCUUUACUUAGUUCAUGGUUGCCUAUUUUUGUUUUAAAAGGUCAUGAACUUAAAAAAGAAAAUUUGAAGAAUUUUUAUAUGUACAUAUAUGUAUAUAUGUAAAUACAUAUAUUUAUAUAUCUAUGUAUCUAUAUCCAAUCUGUGCAGGGAGGUCUUCACCACACUGAUAGGUGGCACAGUUCCUGUUCCCAGAAAGGAACACCUAAAACUGGGAUGUUUGCAAGAAUUCAUCUAAGUUCAAUUGUAGAAAUAUUACAAGUAUAUGAGAAGACAUCCCUUCCCUGCUUCAAAUAAAAAGCAGUCAUUCAUUUUUCUAAGGCAAUUUUAUUACAUGAAAAGUACUUAAUGUAAAGAGAUCUAAAGGAAUUAAGACUUAAAGAAGUAGGCAGUAGUUGUCGUCAGUGAGGAACCUUACCACAGUUCUGUUAGUUGUUGCUAAUUUUAGCCUUCAGGCUCACAGAUAAUGGUUGUAAAACCCAGGACAACUCCAUAAGCACAUUCAUUGCAACCCAGCCUUGGCCAUGAUGAUCUUGCUGUUAAUUAUUUUUUUAGUAUGUAGCUUCUUGCCAAACAUUGCAUAAUCUGUUUGAGUUGCCAUCGUUAAAGAUGGGAAACGUGGAAAGAACAGCAAGCGCUUCCCUGGAUCACAGAAGGACAACAGCCACAGAGCAUAGGCCUUUCAUAAGUCAACAGCACCUUGUCCCCUGCCUCAUCUACCACAUCCCUACUACCACAUCCACAGGAUGUGCAGGCCUGUCUUGGUGAGUUCCCCCACCUGCAUCCAGAGUGAGGGACAGAAUCUGUGUUCCUUAAAGCCACAAGAAUUUAAAAUCUCCAAACUAUUUUACUAGUGUUCUGUGAGCCACCACUGCCAUUAUCAUAAUGAGAGGCUGGCAGCUGGCUUCAGUAAGCCUCUGCUAGCUCAGCUAGUUCAUGAUCACGAGCCGUCCAGAGUCUCACCACUCGGGUAUUGGACACGUGGUGAUACUGAUCCUUUGAUUUGAACACCUGGUGAACUAAGUCCCGGGCAUUAGUCUUAUUAAACAAGAAACUGGUGAUACAAGGCUGGCUGUUGAUUGGGCCAUUCUGAAGUGGGAACGGAGCGCCUGCUAACAGUGCAGAAUCAGAAUUCCGCUUUGUGGGUCAUGCCAUUCAAGCUUAAACACCUACUACUUACAGUGUGAUAUUGGGCAUCUUAAUUUCUGUGUGACUACUUAUCCUUCC
Molecule: long non-coding RNA, 4905 nt
Filed under: Mus musculus (house mouse)
Lineage: Eukaryota; Metazoa; Chordata; Mammalia; Rodentia; Muridae
Description: long non-coding RNA chr2:67898595-67903500
Source: RNAcentral